Molecule: long non-coding RNA, 275 nt
Filed under: Capsella rubella
Lineage: Eukaryota; Viridiplantae; Streptophyta; Magnoliopsida; Brassicales; Brassicaceae
Description: long non-coding RNA (CRUB_LNC000345)
Source: RNAcentral
UCAACUGAAAUGAAUGGUAGACAAUCAUGAAAUCCAUCUAAGACCAAGAACAAUUUAUGCAUACAAAGAUUAGCUCUUGUUGUUCUACCCAUCUUAGAUAUAGGAUCCUAAUUUCUACCCUUUGCAAACCUUUUUCUUUUUUUCUUUUCAAACCACACCCAUUGGACACUUUUGGUCUCUUUUCUCAUCGAAACACAACCCUCAUGAUCAAAACCUUAUUAUUCAUUAGCCACCUAGGGAACCCUUUCUUUAAACACUAAACUCUUAUUUAAUCC